UGGGGAAUAUUGCACAAUGGGCGAAAGCCUGAUGCAGCGACGCCGCGUGAGGGAUGACGGCCUUCGGGUUGUAAACCUCUUUCAGUAGGGACGAAGCGCAAGUGACGGUACCUGCAGAAGAAGCACCGGCUACCUACGUGCCAGCAGCCGCGGUAAUACGUAGGGUGCGAGCGUUGUCCGGAAUUACUGGGCGUAAAGAGCUCGUAGGCGGUUUGUCACGUCGUCUGUGAAAUCCUAGGGCUUAACCCUGGACGUGCAGGCGAUACGGGCUGACUUGAGUACUACAAGGGAGACUGGAAUUUCUGGUGUAGCGGUGGAAUGCACAGAUAUCAGGAAGAACACCGAUGGCGAAGGCAGGUCUCUGGGUAGUAACUGACGCUGAGGAGCGAAAGCAUGGGUAGCGAACAGG
RNAcentral lists this ribosomal RNA (409 nucleotides) under bacterium. RNAcentral describes it as "partial 16S ribosomal RNA". It matches the Rfam family "Bacterial small subunit ribosomal RNA", at positions 355 to 776 of the family's 1533-position model. The record is from RNAcentral.